Small nuclear RNA from Amazona collaria (yellow-billed parrot), 143 nucleotides. Its record names the gene U1. It matches the Rfam family "U1 spliceosomal RNA". From Rfam's summary of the family: U1 is a small nuclear RNA (snRNA) component of the spliceosome (involved in pre-mRNA splicing). The record is from Ensembl. Lineage: Eukaryota; Metazoa; Chordata; Aves; Psittaciformes; Psittacidae.
AAAAUGAUCAGGCAGGUGGUUUUUCCCAGGGUGAGGCUCCUCCUUUGCACUCCGGGUGUGCUGACACCUGCGAUUUCCCCAAAUGAGGGAAACUCGACUACAUAAUUUGUGUUAGUGAGGGACUGCGUUCGCGCUCUCCCCCU